Molecule: long non-coding RNA, 510 nt
Filed under: Chrysemys picta bellii (western painted turtle)
Lineage: Eukaryota; Metazoa; Chordata; Testudines; Emydidae
Description: lncRNA (ENSCPBG00000006876.1)
Source: RNAcentral
AUGUGUUUUUUGAGUUAUAUACCUCAGUUUUGUUUUCAUUCCAUCAUCAGGUCUAUUUUAUCUUCAAAAGAUAUUUUCGAAUGGAAAGAAGGAUUAAAAUUUUUGCCAAAUUUGGGACCAGGAAGAAAUUUCCACCGCAUUCCCAUGACUUGGAUUGUGGUGGAUCCUUUCACUUCCUCUGAAUCAACAAAGACGGGAUCAUCAGAUAAAAGAAGGGCCAGUUCAUUUUUUAAUAUGGGUUACCCGUUCAAGAGUUUAAGGUGAGAGUAUUAAAUGUUGAUUUCCUACAGCUCUUUUAAUGGUUUUUCUACUUUGGGAAUAUGUCUUGAUUUGAGAGGCAUGGGCUAUUAUAAUACUAAGCAGGUAAGUGUCAUAUAGUGACUUUAGGGAUGUGGGGAAGCCUCGUUAAUUUAAAAUAUAAAGCUCAGUUUGAAAGGCCUUGUUUUUAAAAUUAGCCCUAAAGUCUCUGAUUUAAAUAAACCAGGCAUAUGCAAAUAGUAUAAAUGAGUU